AAAAUCUAUAAUAAAAUAAAUAAUAAGUAAAUAUAAAAUAUAAGAAAUAAAAAUACUACAUUAAACAUAUAUCGUAAUAUUACAAUUUGAUAUAAAAUAAAAAUAGUUAGAUAAGUAAAUAUACAAUUAAAAAAGUAAAUACACAAGAUAAGAGACAGAACAACUACAUUAAACAUCUAUUUGAAAAAUGUAGAUUUUUACAUUUUUAUGACUUCCAAAUAAUUUAUAAGUAAAUAUACAAUAUAAUAAAAAUAAGCAUACAAUAUAAGAAAUAUAAAUUUUACAUGAAGCAUCUAUUAUAAUAAUAUCAUUUCAUAUAAAGCAAGAAAUUUAGAAUAAGUAAAUAUACAAUAUAAGAAAAAUUAAAAAAUAGGUAAACUACAAUUAAUAAAUGAAAAAUCUAAAUUAAACAUCUUUCUAAAAAAAUGUAUAGUAAAGUAAAUAAUAAAUUAGUAUACAAUAUAUUAAAUAGAAAUAUUAUAUUAAGCAUCUAUCGUAUUAUUAGAAUAAGUAAAUAUACUAUAUAAAGAUUUAUGGUUUAGAGUUAAGGGGUGGGAUUUUGAGGAUAGGAUUUCAAAUUUUUAAAAAUAAAAAUUAAAAAAUUAAAUUUUUAAAAAUAAAAGAGACUAUUUUGGUCACUUUCUUUAUUGAAUACUAUUUUGUGACAAAAAACUUAAAAGAUCUAUUUGAGAGAAUUGUCUUACAAUAUAAGAAAAAAUAAAUAAUAAGUAAAUAUACAAUAUAUGAAAGGAAAAACUAUAUCAAACAUCUAUCUAAAAAAUGUAUAGUUUUCUGAUUUUUUCUAAAGAAAUAUGUAUUCACACAUACAUACAAUUCAGAAUUUGUUGUUGUUCAGAAUACAACGUUCAAAAAAAUAACUAUAUGGUUAACAUUUAAAAAUAAAAAUAGCCCCGCACGAUUAACUCCUAGUCUUUAUAUAUAUAAUAGGCUUUGAAUCUCUCCUAGAGUGUCCACAUGAGAUGCCGUGUCAUCAAUUAAGACAAUACUGUUGCGACACCUGUCCCGCUUCACAAAACGCGGCGCAUCAUUUAUGAAGUUAUCGUACGGGCUUUGUUUUGUUUAGGCCUGUUCGACUAAAUGGGUUUGAUUUGUACGGCCCUGUGCAUAAGUUAGCAUAGCGCUAACCCUAAUCAUCUCCUUCGUUUCUCUGAGUUGAGUUCGGCAGAUCGCGUCUCGUUGUUCUUUACGGAGAAUGACGAUCGAUUGUUCUCUAUCUUCCUGUAACGGAUCACGACUUAAAUCAAAUUAAUACAGACCCCCACUAAAAACCCUUCAAUGCGUUGUAUAGCUAGGCGAAAUCUAGCAUCUCUGCUAUAAAUAGACCGGGAAGUGUUCAUUGGUCGUGGAGGCUAGACUACUGAGAUACUGGGAGGCUAGGAAUGUUAAGCGUGGUGGAGAGCUUAUGUGGGUGGAUAUGCUUUUGGUUGAUGUUAAUCUGAGCCGCCUCUGCCUUGCCUGAGGAAGGAUUUCGUUUCCGUGACCAGUCGGAGCUGCUUGGUUUGGCUAACAUAAACACUCAGCUACCAGACAUCAUAGGGGAGAUCCUUGGCGUCAAAAGUACUGUUACUGAUCCUCCGGAGGAAAAGAACCGUGUCAUGGUGACCAUAAAAAUGGACAGUGAUGACACUGCCACUCUAAGCUUAUUUGACUCUCAAGCUGUUGCUUUCCACAAACAACUUGAGGCGAUGCGUGUUGAUCCGAAGGUCAUUGUUGCUACUAGCAUUAACCCAAAGAUGGUUGGA
Long non-coding RNA from Brassica rapa (field mustard), 1763 nucleotides. RefSeq lists it as uncharacterized. NCBI's taxonomy places the organism in Eukaryota, Viridiplantae, Streptophyta, Magnoliopsida, Brassicales, Brassicaceae. The record is from RefSeq and is a predicted model, not a curated record.